Molecule: long non-coding RNA, 1142 nt
Filed under: Numida meleagris (helmeted guineafowl)
Lineage: Eukaryota; Metazoa; Chordata; Aves; Galliformes; Numididae
Description: lncRNA (ENSNMEG00000010277.1)
Source: RNAcentral
CUUGGUUUGUGCAAUCAUAUCUUAUUAAUCACUGCUGAUGUCAAUAGCAGUGAAUGAUGGGUGUGUAAUACAAAAAUCAAGCAGCAGUUAAGGUUCUUUUUUUUUUUUCCCAAAGUAGAAAGUUGUUUUCUGGAUACUUGCUUUGAGUUCUUCAGAAGCUGCCCCAUUUGGACCGAGGGUCAAAUAGCGGACGGCCCUGCCUGUCCCUAGCGUGCCCCCUGCCCUGGAGGAGAGAAGGCUGAAGCUAUAUUUUACAGCAAGCCUGUUUCUUCUGGGUCAGGAUACAAGCUUUAAUUUAAGAUCAAGGAGGAAGAAAAGAAAUUUUAUGUUGAUGGAUCUUUAAAGGAAUGUCUGCCUGAACCCCAUUCAAAAGAAAAUUCAUGGAAUUAAGUGUGUUAUGGAUCAUUUUUGCAUCAUGGGAAAAACUUGGAGUUCCAGUUGGACCCUUACAAACUGUGUGUGCAAGGUUUAAAUCUAAUUUGCAACAUUGAUAUGGAUGAAUAUGUCAAAACAAAAGGACUCUUUCCAUCAUUGGACUUUAAUAUUUUGGAUAACCAAGGCCAAUGAGUGUCUGAAAAGAAUUAAUUCCUGUACAGCAUUCAACACAAUUUUGUCUGUGAAUACCAGUAAUAACAUUCUACUUCAUUUCUCCACUUCUGGGCACAGUUUGACUGGGAUUCUUUUUACCCCUCUUCGAUUUCUACAUUUUAAACCACUGUUUAUAUCAGCAGGUAAAUUUUCUUUUUCUUCUUUCUUCUUUUUCACUGCUCAUUUUUUUUUUUUCUAAAAUGUAUAAUGCUCUAUACUCACUCUAUAAUUUAAAUUGCUGUUUUCCAGCCUGGCUGAAGAAUGUCUGAAAGAGUUUGAAGUUCAAGGGGAUGUUUGUGUGUGUUUUGGCAGAUGUUAAGAAGUUUUUCAAAAAAUGAGUGCUGGUGUCUUACUAGAGGAAACUUCUGUCUUCCAACUGAGAACCUCUUGAGAGCUUAUUUGUUGCUCUACAUGCUCUGUCUGGUAUGGCAGUGAUACCUUUCACAUUUUAGAGAUUUCACUUUACGAGCACUGCUUCUUCUGUGAGCACUGCUUUUCUUCUUCUUUUCUUUUCUUUUUCUUUGAAGGGAAAUAAAAUUUAAGCAAACAUAACA